This 434-nucleotide long non-coding RNA is filed under the name Gallus gallus (chicken). The record is from RNAcentral. Lineage: Eukaryota; Metazoa; Chordata; Aves; Galliformes; Phasianidae.
CGUUUCAGGCAGGAGUUGACCACUUUGCAGAAACAAAUGCAGCAAAACAUCUUGCUAUACAGGACCACAGAUUCUAGCCUGCUUUGAACAUACGCUGACACCGUGUCAAACAUUUUAGCAUACAGCAGCAUCAGUACAGAAAAUAAUCCCUUAAAUUAUGUGGUUAAAUAUCAGGAUAACAGCAAAAUCUAGGGCACAGAUUUUCAGACAACACAUGAAAACAAGUUCCUACCCACCUGAGAUUGCAAAAAUCCUAUGGCAUUUUUAAUAGAAGCACUAGGUUGAGAAGCCCAAGGGAUCCUGACUGAAACUGCAUUUCUGGUCAUUACAGUUCACUUGUUUAAAGCACGUCUUCAGUCUUCAACUGAGUAUUUGGAUAUUCCUUUUCAUUUCCUUCUGGAAUUGAAAAGGAGUUUGCUGUGGCCGUAUUUCAG